RNAcentral lists this transfer RNA (130 nucleotides) under Chloroflexota bacterium. RNAcentral's name for it is "tRNA-OTHER". The record is from RNAcentral. Lineage: Bacteria; Bacillati; Chloroflexota.
GGAGACGGAGGCCUACGGGCCGGACGAUUCGGCGAGCUACGCAUACUUGAGAAGGACGCCGAGCCGUGAGCCUAAGUGGAUGCCGCCGAGGACGAUGCGGGGGGUGGGGGUUCGAGUCCCCCCGUCUCCA